This 1068-nucleotide long non-coding RNA is filed under the name Sus scrofa (pig). RNAcentral describes it as "lncRNA (ENSSSCG00070020732.1)". The record is from RNAcentral. Lineage: Eukaryota; Metazoa; Chordata; Mammalia; Artiodactyla; Suidae.
AUGCAGGGGUGGGGGAGGCCGGAGCUCCCGAUGCGUCCGCACUUGGGGGGCGGGGGGGAGGGGAAGCAGGAAGAAAGGAGACACCAGGCACCCCCGCUCCGCACCCUUGCCCUUCCCCCAGCCCUCCUGCAGCAGCAAAGACUUAGCAGGGAGGGGAUCUUGGAGAGGAGGGAGAGAGGAGGAGAGAGAGAGAGAGAGGGAGAGAGAGAGAGAGAGGGAGAGAGAGAGGGAGAGGGAGGGAGAGGGAGGCCCGGGUGGCAGGCUCUACAGAGUUCAGAAGAGCGACCUUUCAGCCCGCACACCUUGAGCCCGGCCUGCCGGGCUGUGUCUGCAGGUCGCUCCUGCGCCCCGGCCGGGGUCGCCCAAGGCGGAGGUCAGGUGAACAAAAGGGACGCUCCCGCCGGGUGCAGGCUCACACAGGCCACCGGCCGGCCGCCCGCGAGCCCCGCACCGGCGGGGGGAGGGGGAGGAGAGGGGGAGGGGAGGGCCGACCCGAGGGGCCGGAGCGGGCGCGGCCCCUCGGAUCGGGAGCCUCACCUUUGCUGUCCUUAUAUACGCGGCCAAGCAUCCCAAACACGCGCCCGGCCAAGUGGCCCCCUCGGGCUGUGCUCCUUGACCAUAUUUAGUCAAGCAGGGGAAAAAAUAGCCUGUCAGCUGGGCCGCGGCUGGCCGGCCACCGGGAACAGGGUGGGAGCGCCAGCGCCAUUGACGGCCGGUCCUGGGCCCGGGCGGCUGUCCCUGGCCGCUGCCCCUCCCAGCCCCUCCCCACGGGCCUCCCACCGGCUGUUCCUGCCCCGCCGGCCCCCGGCUAUUUUUAGCCCAGCCCAGUACAGAGGCGCCUGGCGGCAGCGGGCAACAACCUCUUGGGCCACACAGCCCGCUGGCGGGGGUGCCCCGGGGAGACCCGGGUGGCUCCCAGAACACAGGCAGGAAGCAGGCCUGCCGCCUCCUCCCCAUCCUCAGCCUCCAGCGGGCUCAGCCUUGCCCCUUUUCCCAGAAUCAGGGCCCCAAUCGGGUGGUGAGGGAGCCACCGCGCUUCCAGAAGCUCCCAAGCCAGCCCCGAAAUGA